This 612-nucleotide long non-coding RNA is filed under the name Eucalyptus grandis. RNAcentral describes it as "long non-coding RNA (EGRA_LNC006259)". Lineage: Eukaryota; Viridiplantae; Streptophyta; Magnoliopsida; Myrtales; Myrtaceae. The record is from RNAcentral.
UGAGGGUUGGGAACAGGCGGAGCAGAGCCCUAGCUUCGGCAAAGAGAGCGCCGAACUCCCAUGGAGUGCGAUCUUGGUCAAGGAUGGCUGCGACGACGGUAAGAGAGUCUGAUUCAAGAAGGAGGCUUUGCUGAUUUCUGCUAGUGGUGAUGAGAAAACGAAGGGCAGAAAUGAGGGCUUGGGUUUCUGCUUGCAGGGGCGAGACAGAAAGUGUUCGGUGAGCAGAACCAUCAAUCAGCUUCCCAGAGGAGUCUCGACAAAGACAAGAAACAGCAGCGCCGUCUGUGAUCGUGGGAAAAGAGGCAUCAAUAUUGAUUUUAAGCUUACCAGGAGGCGGAGGACACCAUGACAGGUCCAAGGGGAGACGCCGAGGAAUUGGUUUUCCAGCCGAUCGAAACCCAGAAGAAGAAGAGGCCCCAUCGAAACCCCCGGUGAGUGAGCUAUUUCGCUGGAUUGAGAGGUCUGGCUGGUGUAUAUUCUGACAAUGUUAUUGCUGCGAGGUCUGAUGACAGCGAUGAUAUGAACGGGCAUGGGCCAGUGCAGAAACUACGAUGUGAUCGGGGUUGGGUGGUCGUCGGCGGAAGAUGAAGUCGUUCCUGGCUUUCCAAAUGU